RNAcentral lists this ribosomal RNA (389 nucleotides) under Salmonella enterica. RNAcentral's name for it is "partial 23S ribosomal RNA". It matches the Rfam family "Bacterial large subunit ribosomal RNA", at positions 1 to 420 of the family's 2925-position model. The record is from RNAcentral. Lineage: Bacteria; Pseudomonadati; Pseudomonadota; Gammaproteobacteria; Enterobacterales; Enterobacteriaceae.
GGGUUGUGAGGUUAAGCGACUAAGCGUACACGGUGGAUGCCCUGGCAGUCAGAGGCGAUGAAGGACGUGCUAAUCUGCGAUAAGCGCCGGUAAGGUGAUAUGAACCGUUAUAACCGGCGAUUUCCGAAUGGGGAAACCCAGUGUGACUCGUCACACUAUCAUUAACUGAAUCCAUAGGUUAAUGAGGCGAACCGGGGGAACUGAAACAUCUAAGUACCCCGAGGAAAAGAAAUCAACCGAGAUUCCCCCAGUAGCGGCGAGCGAACGGGGAGGAGCCCAGAGCCUGAAUCAGCAUGUGUGUUAGUGGAAGCGUCUGGAAAGGCGCGCGAUACAGGGUGACAGCCCCGUACACAAAAGCGCAUGUGUUGUGAGCUCGAUGAGUAGGGCGG